AAAAAAAAAAGCUUUGACAACACAUCUUUGACCAAAAGGAACAAAUAAGGAGAGAGAGGAUCUCCUUGCCGAAGACCCCUUUAUGGAGAGACUUUGGUUCUCGAUUCGCCAUUGGCCUGCACCUCAAACUUAACUGUAGCAACACAUUCAAUUGUCCAUUGUACCCAUUUUUUGUGGAAACCCAUCUUCAACAUCACAGCUUCUAAGAAGUCCCAUUCUACCCUGUCAUAGGCUUUGUUAAAAUCCAACUUGAUUGCCAUAAAAUCUUCCUUCCCUUGCUUUUUGCGUUUAAGAAAAUGAAAAGCUUCAUGGGCAAUGAGGAUAUUGUCUUGGACAAAAUGGUGUUUGACCUAAUGCUUAUGAUGUUUGUAUUGGUUGUAAAGAGCCGGAUGUUGUCAACUAAUUCAUUGAGUGUGUGUGUGUGUGUAAAUAGUCGACGUCAUUACUUAGAACUAGGUUUUCUUGGAUAUCAUGCAACAAGAUGCCCUCGAUAGACAAUGGUGACAACAAAUUCAUGUAGAUUGAUUGGGACUCAAGGUUUGGCUUGGUUAUGGAGGUCACUACUUGUUUCCAAACUUCUACUGUCAUGAUUUUUACCGUUUCCAUCUUUUCCUUUCUUAUGUGGGUGUCUUAAUAUCUAUAUGUACACUGUGAUUUGAGUUGUAAGUCGUCUGGGCCUUCUUCCUAAGGAGGUUAGUCUGUCAACUAAAAGAGUUGGAUACAAAUGAACACAUUCUUGCAAACCUACUAGGAUGGAGUGAUCAAGUCAAAUGUGACAAACCAUAGAUGCAGAUGUUCAACAGUUGGGGUAAUGUUCAGUGGUAGAAAAAAUAAUUAUUGUGGUGUGAUGUCUUAAUUAGAUGAGACAUAUUUGAGGUUUACCAGCAUAUAUUACAUGGACGGCUGUAGUGUUAGAGAGUACAUGAUAAUUUGAAUACAGUGUAGUGGUUGUUUUUAGAGUUGCCAAAAUUGACUUGAACACAUUUCAUAUGAUCUGGAACUAUGAUAUGAUCAUCAGCUGCAUCAGGUGGAUGGAAAUUCGUCCAAUUGGAAAUUCGUCCAACUGCUCUAAAUUGUAUAGCCUAUGGCAGCAAACUGCUGUUGCUGUUCUGCUGUUGUUUUGUUGCUACUGACUAGUUAGGAUGCUGUUUUGCUGCCUUAUUAUGCAGCUGGUUGCUGCUGUUCUUGGUUGUUAACUCAGGCAGCAAUCAAGCUGCCUUAUUCAGCCUUGUGUUCUUUUGUGACUUUAGAAAAUAUUGUAAAAUCCAAGUGUUGCUGUCCAGUUUGAAAGGCCUAGUUUGUGUUCUUUUGAUGCUGUCCAUGUUGUACAGGCCUGUGGCAUAUUCAUGUAUAAUUUGGUUUUGUAUAGGCCUGUGGCUUAUUAGUUUUAGUUCUUCUCGAGAAUGAACGAUCUCAUAAACUUUGUCCAUAUGCUGAGGAAAGCUAUAGGUAGGAUUUCGUACAAGUGGUUUUGUAUGAUUCACUCACCGAGUUUCUAGCAGUUUAGACCACGGACAAUUCACUCUACCGUAGUAAUCGGAUUGGUUAGAAUGUAAAGACAAGAUCAGAUGAUGUUCGAUAGGGUUUGACUAAGUUCUUUAUGUCAUUUACUUCAACAUUUGCAUUGCUGAAGUGAUCUGAAUGGGAUUUUUGUAUAUUACUUGUAUAUAGAUGCUAAUGUGGUUGUGGCUUCCCAUGUAAUAAUUUGGAUUAUAGACGUUUUUCCCUUCUGUUUUCCUAUCUUUCUUCAUUUUAAUUUCUGCAGCUUUGCUCAUUAAAAAAUAUGAUCUGGUUGCUCUACGGAGAGAGCUUUCUUUUUCCUUGAUAGCUUAUGGUAGAUGUCAGGCCUCGAAUCAUCAGUUGGACGAGGAAAAACAAUGCGAAUGAUAUAGGGGGAAUAGGAAGCUGGGAAAUGAUCAAGAAUCACAUGAGAAACUAACUACUAAUGCUGACAAGCGACAAGUGAUUUCUUCAUAAUGGAAUGAAACAUGGAAAUAAAAUCCAAGAUGCAUGUUGGAUGAUUGGUUGAAACUAGAGAACUGAUAAAGUCCUUGUGGUCACUAAGUACAUAAUGAAUGUCAUGGGUUGACACUCUCAACUAGUGUGCCACAGAGCUUAGAGUUGGGAUAAGGCACGGUGGAUUUCCUCUUACAUAUUUUUGGAGUUCCUGGGCAAUUUUUUUGGAGAGAAUCCAUUUCCGGUCGCUUAUGCCUAUGUCUAAAUUUAAGUUCUCAAUAUUACUUCUAUUGCGUUCCAUUUAAGGUUAGUGGGGGUUAUGAUUUUUCAAAAGGUAUCUCUAAUUCUUAGGCUGGAAACACAAAUCUUUAAUCGCAUUUUAGGUUAGAAAUGUUGAAGGUCUCCUUUUUAUUUUUCUUAGCGGACUUCUUUUUAUUUUUCUAACCCAGCCGUCUGCUUACACUAAUACAUUUCGAAGUGCUUCAGCGUUGUGCCGGCAACAUUGUAGGAUCUUUAGGCGGUGCGUCUGUCUUGUGUUGGAGGAGUACUUGUAAAGACACCCUGAAGUGGUUUUUCUCUUUUUGCUCUAGCAAAGCCUCUUUCUCUUUUUCAUGUUUUCGGGCAGCUGCAUGUUUGAUUUUCAGAUGUAUGCAUGUGAUUCAGAUUUUAGUUGUGCUUGUGUGAUAAUGAUACAAGGCUAAAAAGUUCAUGCCAUAUUCACUUCAAAAUCAAUUUUCUACGACUCCUAAAAAAAAUAUUUGCAACCAAAUGUUUUUUUUGUGUGUGUGUUUCAAGCAGACAUAUUCACUUCAUUUGUAUUUUUACAGAGAUUACGACACAUUAGCAGACUACGUCAUCAACUACCAUGCAUUCGCCCUCUACUACCAAAUUUGAUAUACUUCGAUUGCAAAAACAAAAUGGCAAAUGGGAAGAGAAACUUCAUCAAACCAUGUUCUUUAGCAACUCGGAAGAAAACCAAAUAUGAGAUGGCAAGAGAUGAGAGAAUGAAGGAGAACAAUGAGAGAUUGAAGGCUGCUGGGAUUGACCGUAUACUAGCUGAUUUGAGGGGUUCGUCUUUGCCAAACUGUACGAAUGAGAAGAGAAUGGGUACUAGGAAUGGGGUAGAUGAUCCUGACUAUAUGCCACCAAGUAUUGAGGAUGCCAAUGACGAUGAGUCCUUUGAUUCUCUUGAACAUGAGCUCCAAUAGAUACCACCGAGUGGACCAACAAGAUCAGAAGUUGAGCUCCAGCAUGACUCAACUCGUGUCCUUGAGAGGAUGACUCGUUCAACACCACAUCUUGUAGUUGAGUCCCAGCCCUCACCACCUCGCAAUGUAGAAAUACAAAGUGAGGCAGCUGCAGUU
RNA transcript from Rhododendron vialii, 3320 nucleotides. RefSeq lists it as uncharacterized. NCBI's taxonomy places the organism in Eukaryota, Viridiplantae, Streptophyta, Magnoliopsida, Ericales, Ericaceae. The transcript has 3 exons. The record is from RefSeq and is a predicted model, not a curated record.